This is a long non-coding RNA of Cornus florida, 1536 nucleotides long. RefSeq lists it as uncharacterized. NCBI's taxonomy places the organism in Eukaryota, Viridiplantae, Streptophyta, Magnoliopsida, Cornales, Cornaceae. The transcript is spliced from 5 exons. The record is from RefSeq and is a predicted model, not a curated record.
UGUCCGUAAUGUCCCAAAAAGUUGACUCACAUUUUUUUUUUCCCCUUCUUUUUUCCAUUUUUGUGUGACAAAUAUUGGUUAUUAUAACAACAACAAAACAGCAGAAACAAAGGGCAAAUGAAGUUUAUGUUGCUUUGUGGAUCAGACAAUUGAAGUCUAUCAACAAUUUUGUGGCAGAAAGAGUAGGUUCUGGUGCAAGAAAACUACUGUCACAGAUCUUGGUUUGAUUUUGUUCCGGUUCGGGUUCACCGUUCGCAUGCUUCAGCCGCUGUCUCUCAACUCUCAAGCUUCCCCCCCCCCCCCGGGCCCUCCGUCUCUCUCUCUGUGACUGCUAACUUGUAUGUAUUGGACCUUAACAUUUAGCAAGAACAAAGUUCAAGAAACAUGCUUCCUUAGUCAUCAGGUCUCUUUUUUGAAAGAAGAGAGUUGAUGGGAAUCGGUGGAUUAGGCAAAAAGAAAAUAGGUAAAGAAUGUAUGGAGAAGCACAUUUUAAGACAAUGGUGACUUCGACCCCCGAUGUUCACUCCACGGAUACGUUUGCUCGCUGUUUAAUUCUCCAAACUAGAAUUAUAAAUGCAAUACCAUAUUGGGGGAGCAUAGCCCUUAUAAGGGUCCUAAUUGAUCGUAAUCAUGUUCUUUUACAAGAAGUUCUUGCUAUUGAUCAACAAAUUGAUGUACUGCAUCAGCAGAUAGAGGGACUCCAAGCAGACAACGAUCAUCUUCAAGGACUAAAUCAUAAUUUGGAAGCACACAAUGCAAAUCUCCAAACAGAAAGAGCACAACAGUCUCCGGGAAAGCAUCCACGCGCUGAAGCAAAUUCUGACUAACCACGCCAUUGAAUUUCCACCCGAUAUAUGAAAAGUUUAGGAAAAUCAAAAUUGAAAAGAUGAGAAUGCAAUCUGUGUUUAAAUCUAUAUAGAGAUAUAUGCAAUACCAUAUUUGGGGAGCAUAGCCCUUAUAAGGGUCCUGAUUGAUCGUAAUCAUGUUCCUGUACAAGAAGUUCUUGCUAUUGAUCAACAAAUUGAUGUACUGCAUCAGCAAAUAGAGGGACUCCAAGCAGACAAUGAUCAUCUUGAAGGACUAAAUCAUAAUUUGGGAGCACACAAUGCAAAUCUCCAAGCCCAAAGAGCACAAUUCCAGCACAGAGAGGCACGUCUCCGGGAAAGCAUCCAGGCGCUGAAGCAAAUUCUGACUAACAACGGCAUUGAAUUUCCACCCGAUAUAUGGAGGGGCACGUCUCCGGGAAAGCAUCCAGGCGCUGAAGCAAAUUCUGACUAACCUCGGCAUUGAAAUUCCACCCGAUAAAUAGAAAGUGUAGGUAACUUAGGUAAAACUUCAAACUUCUUAUUGUCUUGUUUUUUUAAGGAAAAACAAUAUCAUGUGUUUAAAUUGGUAGAUACAAAACAGUGUCUUAGUUUUUUUUUUUUUUUUUUUUUGAAGGAAAAUCAAAAUUGAAAAGAUGAGAAUGCAAUCUGUGUUUAAAUAUAUAUAGAGAUAUAAUAUAGAUUGUAGAUGCUUGUCAUUUUUUGUUUCAUC